This 1680-nucleotide ribosomal RNA is filed under the name Desmopuntius rhomboocellatus. RNAcentral's name for it is "16S rRNA". It matches the Rfam family "Bacterial large subunit ribosomal RNA". Lineage: Eukaryota; Metazoa; Chordata; Actinopteri; Cypriniformes; Cyprinidae. The record is from RNAcentral.
GCCAAACAGCUAGCUUAACCACUUAUAAACCAAAAAACAUUAACUAAAAUAAACUUAAAAAUAAAAACUAAACCAUUCUUUUACUCUAGUACGGGAGACUGAAAAAGUUUUAACAAAGCAAUAGAAACAGUACCGCAAGGGAAAGCUGAAAGAGAGAUGAGACAGAUCAUAUAAGCACCUAAAAGCAAAGAUUAAAUCCUGUACCUUUUGCAUCAUGAUUUAGCCAGUAUAACUAAGGCAAAGAGACCUUUAGUCUUAAACCCCGAAACCAGGUGAGCUACCCCGAGACAGCCUAUUAGGGCCAACCCGUCUCUGUGGCAAAAGAGUGGGAAGAGCUCCGGGUAGAAGUGAUAGACCUACCGAACCUGGUAAUAGCUGGUUGCCUAAGAAAUGAAUAAAAGUUCAGCCUCAGCUGCCUCAAGUCAAAAAUACUUUAUAAGACCAAAAGAGAAAAAUAUGAGAGUUAGUUAAAGGGGGUACAGCCCUUUUAACAAAGAACACAAUCUUUUCAGGAGGAUAAAGAUCAUAAUAUUAAAAACACACUGUUCUAGUGGGCCUAAAAGCAGCCAACUAAAUAGAAAGCGUUAAAGCUCAGACAGAAAAAAGUUUAUUAUUCUGAUAAUAAGUCUUACUCCCCUAAAUACUAUUAGGCCAACCCAUGCCAACAUGGAAGAGAUUAUGCUAAAAUGAGUAACAAGAAGGCCAGCCCUUCUCCUAGCACAAGUGUAAGCCAAACCGGACUAACCAUUGGCAACUAACGAACCCAAAUAACAGAGGGCAAUGUAAAUUACAUAAAACUCAAGAAAAACCCACAGAUCUUACAUCGUUACCCCCACACUGGAGUGCCAUCAGGGAAAGACUAAAAGAAACGGAAGGAACUCGGCAAACACUAAGCCUCGCCUGUUUACCAAAAACAUCGCCUCCUGCAACAUAACCAAGUAUAAGAGGUCCAGCCUGCCCAGUGACCAAAAGUUUAACGGCCGCGGUAUUUUGACCGUGCAAAGGUAGCGCAAUCACUUGUCUUUUAAAUAAAGACCGGUAUGAAUGGCUAAACGAGGGCUUAACUGUCUCCCAUUUCAAGUCAGUAAAAUUGAUCUACCCGUGCAGAAGCGGGUAUAACCAUACAAGACGAGAAGACCCUUUGGAGCUUAAGGUAAAAAUCAACCAUGUCAAGCAACUAUUAAACAAGUUUUAAACCUUAAAGUGUAUGAAACCUUUACCUUCGGUUGGGGCGACCAUGGAGAAAAAAAUAACCUCCAAGUGGAGUGGGUAAAAUCCUAAAACCAAGAGGGACACCUCUAAGUAACAGAACAUCUGACCAUAAAUGAUCCGGCCAACAAAAAGCCGACCAACGAACCAAGUUACCCAAGGGAUAACAGCGCAAUCCUCUCCCAGAGCCCAUAUCGCCGAGAGGGUUUACGACCUCGAUGUUGGAUCAGGACAUCCUAAUGGUGCAGCCGCUAUUAAGGGUUCGUUUGUUCAACGAUUAAAGUCCUACGUGAUCUGAGUUCAGACCGGAGCAAUCCAGGUCAGUUUCUAUCUGUAAUGCUACUUUUCCCAGUACGAAAGGAGCGGAAAAGAAGGGCCCAUGCCUAAAGCACGCCCUACCCCUAACUUAUGAAAACAAAUAAAUAUAGGUAAAGGGCUGAGCCAAAACCAAAAUCCCCAAGACAAGGACAU